GAGGGUACAGCUCAGUGGUAGAGCGUAUGCUUAGCAUGCACGAGGUCCUGGGUUCAAUUCCCAGUACUGCCA
Molecule: transfer RNA, 72 nt
Filed under: Camelus bactrianus (Bactrian camel)
Lineage: Eukaryota; Metazoa; Chordata; Mammalia; Artiodactyla; Camelidae
Also listed under: 2 other names
Rfam family: tRNA
About the family: Transfer RNA (tRNA) molecules are approximately 80 nucleotides in length. Their secondary structure includes four short double-helical elements and three loops (D, anti-codon, and T loops).
Source: Rfam by way of RNAcentral